UACGGGGGGGCGAGCGUUGUUCGGAAUUACUGGGCGUAAAGGGCGCGUAGGCGGUUCAUUAAGUUGGAUGUGAAAACUCUGGGCUUAACCCAGAGCCUGCAUUCAAAACUGAUGGGCUGGAGUUCUGGAGGGGAUAGCGGAAUUCCUGGUGUAGCGGUGAAAUGCGUAGAUAUCAGGAGGAACACCGGUGGCGAAGGCGGCUAUCUGGACAGAAACUGACGCUGAGGCGCGAAAGCUAGGGGAGCAAACAGG
RNAcentral lists this ribosomal RNA (252 nucleotides) under uncultured Acidobacteriota bacterium. Its description in RNAcentral is "uncultured Acidobacteria bacterium partial 16S ribosomal RNA". It matches the Rfam family "Bacterial small subunit ribosomal RNA", at positions 524 to 776 of the family's 1533-position model. Lineage: Bacteria; Pseudomonadati; Acidobacteriota. The record is from RNAcentral.